UAUUUUAUAAUGACCCGGAAAAUGAAGUCGAGUAAUGAAGACGUGUGGUGUGUCUGGUGAAAACAAACGCUGUGCGCCCUAAACACUGAGCUGUUGACUAGUCCGAAGAUUUAACCUCAUCAGUGAGCGAGAGUCAGACGAGUCUGUAUGUUCACCGGAUGAAGAGUUGAUCCGCAGUCGCUGAGUUAAACUCGAGACCAGAUUUUUAUUACUGAGGGACAUCACUGGGAUUUUGACACCAACGGGCUUUACAACGCUUCCCGCUGUCCUGCACACACUUGUACACACAGAGGGGGGAUGACAAGCAGUGAAUCUGAAGACAGAAAAUCUUGAAGGAGAAUGUCUGCCCAUCAGUCCAUGACCCAAAGCUCAUUUGCAGUUGGGUUAUGCAGCAGGACAGUGAUCGGAAGCACACAAGCAAGUCCACCUCUGAAUGGCUCAAAAGAGCUUUUUGUUUAUGUUCUCUGAGGCAAGAACUUAAACAGAUGAAUUAAAACCAUUCUGCAAGGAACAUUGGGUCAGAAUUCCUCCACAGUGAUGUAAAAAACUCAUCACAAGUGAUUGCAAACACUGGUACUGCCAAGGAAAGCACAUCCAGUUAUUAGA
Trichomycterus rosablanca is the source of this 606-nucleotide long non-coding RNA. RefSeq lists it as uncharacterized. The record is from RefSeq and is a predicted model, not a curated record. The transcript has 5 exons. NCBI's taxonomy places the organism in Eukaryota, Metazoa, Chordata, Actinopteri, Siluriformes, Trichomycteridae.